GGGGGCGACUUGGUUUCGACGCGGGUAUCAAAGUUUGCGGUGCAUGCCGAGAGGGUAGUGACUCUCGUAAAACAAUCGCUGUAACUUUUUAUAGUUGCCAACGACGAAAACUACGCACUAGCGGCCUAAAAAACCCGCUUACGUCCAUGAUUCGUUUCUUGCUAGGAGAAAUGGACGGCAAAACAGCAAGAUCGCGCGGAUGCCUCGCCCGGGGCUGAACCGUUAAAACCAAUCGGGAUCGCUGAUCGCACCCUGACCGUCGGGUCGCAGGAGGCUAAAUCAAUAGACGGACUCUAAGCAUGUAGAGCCAAUAAUGGCGAGCCAGCGGACGCGGGUUCAACUCCCGCCGCCUCCACCA
RNAcentral lists this transfer-messenger RNA (358 nucleotides) under Pseudomonadales. Its description in RNAcentral is "UBA4421 sp002726925 Standard tmRNA". It matches the Rfam family "transfer-messenger RNA". From Rfam's summary of the family: Bacterial tmRNA, also known as 10Sa RNA or SsrA, is named for its dual tRNA and mRNA-like properties. RNAcentral also lists the same sequence under 1 other name. The record is from RNAcentral. Lineage: Bacteria; Pseudomonadati; Pseudomonadota; Gammaproteobacteria.